GCACAAGCGGUGGAGCAUGUGGUUCAAUUCGAAGCAACGCGCAGAACCUUACCAGCCCUUGACAUGGCAGGACGGUUCCCAGAGAUGGGUUCCUUCUCGCAAGAGACUUGCACACAGGUGCUGCAUGGCUGUCGUCAGCUCGUGUCGUGAGAUGUUGGGUUAAGUCCCGCAACGAGCGCAACCCUUGUCCGUAGUUGCCAGCAUUCAGUUGGGCACUCUACGGAGACCGCCGGUGACAAAUCGGAGGAAGGUGGGGACGACGUCAAGUCAUCAUGGCCCUUAUGACCAGGGCUACACACGUGCUACAAUGGCCGGUACAAAGGGUCGCCAACCCGCGAGGGGGAGCUAAUCCCAGAAAGCCGGUCGUAGUCCAGAUCGGAGUCUGCAACUCGACUCCGUGAAGCCGGAAUCGCUAGUAAUCGCGAAUCAGCACUGUCGCGGUGAAUACGUUCCCGGGC
Molecule: ribosomal RNA, 458 nt
Filed under: uncultured bacterium
Lineage: Bacteria
Description: bacterial SSU rRNA
Rfam family: Bacterial small subunit ribosomal RNA
Source: RNAcentral